RNAcentral lists this ribosomal RNA (253 nucleotides) under uncultured bacterium. Its description in RNAcentral is "partial 16S ribosomal RNA". It matches the Rfam family "Bacterial small subunit ribosomal RNA", at positions 524 to 776 of the family's 1533-position model. The record is from RNAcentral.
UACGGGGGGGGCAAGCGUUGUUCGGAAUUACUGGGCGUAAAGGGCUUGUAGGUGGCCAACUAAGUCAGACGUGAAAUCCCUCGGCUUAACCGGGGAACUGCGUCUGAUACUGGAUGGCUGGAGGUUGGGAGAGGGAUGCGGAAUUCCAGGUGUAGCGGUGAAAUGCGUAGAUAUCGAGAGGAACACCUGCGGCGAGGGCGGGUUGCUGGGCUGAUACUGACGCUGAGGCGCGAAAGCCAGGGGAGCGAACGGG